Molecule: long non-coding RNA, 2761 nt
Organism: Esox lucius (northern pike)
Lineage: Eukaryota; Metazoa; Chordata; Actinopteri; Esociformes; Esocidae
Source: Ensembl
UACAUUGUGCAGGAUGACGCUGUGUUCAGUGCAUUUAACAAAUAAACCUUACAUUUUUUUUGUAAACUUGCUACAUUAAUAGGUAGACAGGCUAACUUUGAGUGUACGAAUGUGAAAUAAGUGCAACAGUUUGUUGACUAAGCAACCAGGUAUUAAUUGUUUAUAUACAGCUCUGGAAAAAAUUAAGAGACCACUGCAAAAUUAUCAGUUUCUCUGGUUUUACUAUUCAUAUGUAUGUGUUUGAGUAAAAUGAACAGUUUUAUUCUAUAAACUACUGAAAACAUUACUCCCAAAUAAGAAUAUUGUAAUUUAGGGUACUUAUUUGUAGAAAAUAACAACUGGUCAAAAUAACCCAAAAAAUAUGCAUUGUUUUCAGACCUCAAAUAAUGCAAAGAAAACUAAUUAAUAUUCAUUUCUGAACAACAAGCUACUAAUGUUUUAACGUACUGUAUGAAGAGUUCAGAAAUCAAUAUUUGGUGGAAUAACCCAGAUUUCUAUUCACAGCUUUCAUGCAUCUUGGCAUGCUAUCCACCAGUCUGUCACAUUGCUGUUGGGUGACUUUAUGCCACUCCUGGCACAAAAAGUAGCUUGGCUUUGUUUGAUGGCUUGUGACCAUCCAUCUUCCUAUUGAUCAAAUUCCAGCGGUUUUCAAUGGAGUUCAGGUCUGGAGAUUGUGCUGGCAAUGACAGGGUCUUGAUCUGGUGGUCCUCAAGGAAGUAGGUGUUCUUCCAGGAUAACCUUGUACUUGGCUUGAUUCGUGCAUCCUUCACAAAGACAAAUCUGCCCGAUUCCAGCCUUGCUGAAGCAUCUCCAGAUGCUAAAAAAUUAGAGGACCACUGCACCUUUUUCUUUCCUGGAAGCUGUAUAUAUGUAUAUUGUAUAUUUAUAUACAGCUCUGGAGAAAAUUAAGAGACCACUGCACCAACAAAAAAAGUUGAAAAGGAAAGUUUUGAGUGAGGAACAGAAGCAUUGAAUUUGCAAUGGUCUCUUAAUUUUAACCCUUCUGUUCCUCACUCAAAACCUUCCUUUUUUGGAAAGGAAAGAAAAAGGUGCAAUGAUCUCUUAGGGAGCGGGUUUGUGUUAGGGCACUUCUAUGCAUUAGGGUGCGGGUAUAAGUGUUAAGGCACAUUAAGUUAAAGUGGUUCUGACGUGCAGGGCACGCUAACAUGAAUUGAGAUAAAUAAAAAUGGGUCUGUUGUUUCGCCAUGCAUGGUUUUACUGGAUUUGAUAUGUUGUGGUAAAUAUUUGGUGAAUAUCAUGUUUAUGUUGUCUGGACAUCUUUGUGAGUUAUUAGGUUUUCCGGUUAAUGGUGUUAUCAUUCGGUGAUGGAUGUAUGGCCUACCAGGCAGAUUGGAGGAAUAUGGACAAGGUUGGAUGGAUUGUCCCUCUGACCGCCUCCACCCUCCCGUGGUGUUCAGCCAGGCUGAUCGCUGGGAGGCCUGGGACUUUUGCAUUAUCCCACCCUGCCCGGCAACGCUGCAUCGGUGGAGAAACUUUCCCUACAAUCAGCGUAGCCAACCCCGCUGGUGACCGAGAUAGCCCCGACACGGUUUGCUCAAUGGGCUUUGUUGUUGUGAACGUGGUGAUGCUGUAGACCGUAUGGAGGCCGUUUUGCUCCAUUUUGGAUGUGUUGGGAGUGUCUACGCGGGUCAAGAAAAUAAUCGACAGGGGGGAGAAGAACACACCUGAUUACCUCUGUUGGCCCAAACAGUGUUUACAGUGGCUAAGACCAAAGAAGACUUCCGACCCGGGGUUGAGAAAGAGACUAUGCUAACCACUACGUUUAGCUACCGCUAGACAUUCGACUGGACAUUGGGUUUGGGAAGAUACCCUACAUAAACAAUGGCUGUUUAUGUAGUGUUCCCGCAAUAAUAGACAAUUACGGCAAUCUCUCUGGCCUCACCGUGAGCGACCCAACGGGAGCACGCAGGAACGCCAAACCGCCUGAGGGAGAGGUGCUGACGGCCAGCAUCAACCGGUGAGAUCUUUCCUUAACACAAACCUGGUUUUUCUCUGACAUAUUUAGAGAAUACAGGAUUUAUACCUUUUUAUAGGGUUUAGUAAACUAGGUGGUUGGUUUUGGUAUGUCAGGAUUGAUGGAUUUGGAGAAAGUAUGGUAAAUCUAAUUAUUUUUUAGGGUAUUUCAGUUAUAGCUUCUGUAGUUAAGAAACUGCCAUUCUUCCGUGUCCUGAUAGCACUAGUAACAUUCGUGCAGGAUUUUCAACAGCUCUCUAUUGGUGGACUUGUUUUCUGUUUUUCGACGGUAGGGGAAUUGAGCCUCUAAGUCUCCUUGUAGACCCUGUAUCAUAGGUAGGGGAGAUUCAGUCCUGUUGGCUAGCGUUGAGCACCCCAGUGCUCUUUAUCAUACCAUGUAAAAAGAGCACUGAUGGCUGAUUGGGAAAAAUCGACAAUAGCGAAAUAGAAUGUUUCCACUAUAUCUACAACUGUUUCUAAUCUAUUUAGACAAAGGACACGGAAAGAUAUUGGAUAUACAGGUAUACAAGUUUGAGUGUUUGUUAGGACUGUGUUCUAAUGCAUUAACAAGAUGCAACAAACUAAUGUAAUGGACAUAUUUCUGAUUGUGUACUGUGCAGUUGUAACUAAUCUUGUCAAGGAGAAUUCACUGACAGGUACAGGACACUUACUUGCACACUUAUGCAACCAAGUUAUUGUGAGUUUUUUAUUUUUCAUUUUUCCCCCUCAAAGAUUUCAGUUUGUUUUUCAAUUGAAUUGUUCAUGUUAUAGGUCACAUUAAAGGUGG